GAAAAUCAUUGAUGUCAAUUCCCUGUGGUUCGACCCUAUUGCCACUAUCUACAAGUUUAUUGUUGAUUGUUUAAUAGGUUUAUUUUUGACGGUUUCGACAACCGCCUAUCAGCAGCCGAAAGGCCUGCCUCCCAAGCCAUGUUCGGCGGCCGAAAGUCCUUCGGCUGCCGAACCUGGUUUCUGCCAAAGGGCAGAAACUUGGUUCUCUUUGCACAACAACCUCUCCUUCUCAUUCCAACAUGCAUAUAACUCAUCCGAAUCAUGCAAAUAUACAUACAUUGGCUCCUAGGGGCUUCAAACUAACUUAAACCCCAACUACAACACAC
Molecule: long non-coding RNA, 326 nt
Filed under: Manihot esculenta (cassava)
Lineage: Eukaryota; Viridiplantae; Streptophyta; Magnoliopsida; Malpighiales; Euphorbiaceae
Description: long non-coding RNA (MESC_LNC001419)
Source: RNAcentral